Non-coding RNA from Ailuropoda melanoleuca (giant panda), 73 nucleotides. Lineage: Eukaryota; Metazoa; Chordata; Mammalia; Carnivora; Ursidae. The record is from Rfam.
GCUUGGCUGGCUCAGUCAGUAGAGCAUGGGACUCUUGAUCUCAGGGUCAUGAGUUCAAACCCCAAGUAGGGCA